UUUACUCUUCCUUUCAAAAUUAAAACCCUAACUCAUCCCCCAAAGAUCAAGAAGUCAUUCCGAAGAUCAAGAAUUCCAAGAAAUGGAUCAAGAUCCGAGUUCUACUCCUUAAGCUAAGUAAUCUAAGGUACGUGGAUUUUCCUAAACUACAUGGUCUGGCUGAAAAUACUUUGAAUAUGGUUUAAAGUUUAGAAAUCAUGAAUUUACAAAGGGGUUUGGAAUUUACAUUUCAAUUUUGCACUAUGAAUUGUUUAAUGAUAUUAUUGUUUUGGUCUUGAGGCCUUUUCCGCCAAAUUGAUUUGUACUUGUAUAUAUGUAUGUAUGAAGUUGAGUUUUGAGAUUUAAUUGAGAGCGUUAAAAUAUAGAAUCCCUCUCUUGCUAUGAUUUCCUAUUGUUUUCAUACGAUAUGGAUUGUUUCAAAUGCAUUUUUGAGAAGCAUGACACAAAUGUCUUGAAUAUUGUUUAUGACUUGAUUAUGAUUUUGAAUUAAAGAGAGAGGGUGAUUCUUGCUAAUAUAAAUGAAAAGUGUUGAUUCAAAAAGAUUGCAUGAUUUGUUAUAAAAUACUUGACCACCACAUGUUUGUUGAAAUGUUUAAAAGAGAGCCUUGCAUAUUUUACAUAUGAUUGCAAUAUGAAUUCUCUUGAACUGUUUGAACGAUAUGGUGGUCCAAAUUUUAUGUUUUGAAUGAAAAUACUAUAACAUUAUAUUUUAUGGUUCAGAAUUAUGACUUGCAAGUCUUGGUAUGACGAUACCAAAUCAGAUAAGGCCAUGAUAAAACACAGAACAGAAUGCAGAUUUCAGAUUUCGAAUUCAGAAAGAUGCAUGUUUAGAAUGGGUUAAAACUUGGCACUAAGAGAGUUAGGUGGUUACCCGAAGAAGGCACGAGUCAUAUGAUUCAUUGCCCGAAACAGUGUUUUGCCGAUAUGGGUAUAUUAUUAUACGCUGGACUAGUGCCCUAUGGCGUAUCAUAUUCAGAUACUUCAACCCUUGCGGCAAACUUGGGUUGGGGGCUUGGCCGUCGAGUUAAUGACGGAUCCUAUAUUGCCGUGAGAAACUUUCAGAUAUGUAGGGUGUACCACUUAGCUCAGAAGUAAUGCAAAGAAUAAAUUUCAUUGACAAGAUUGUUUUAAGAUCUUUUGAAAUGGCCCAUGUAUUUUAAACUAUUUCAUGCAUAAUGUUUUAUGACUUGAUCUCACCUAUGUUAUAUAUGUAUAAAUUCAUUAUUUUGGAUUGCUCUGUGUACCAAUACAUAUGUAUUGAUCCCCCUUCCAUCUCAG
RNAcentral lists this long non-coding RNA (1278 nucleotides) under Capsicum annuum. Its description in RNAcentral is "long non-coding RNA (CANN_LNC020997)". The record is from RNAcentral. Lineage: Eukaryota; Viridiplantae; Streptophyta; Magnoliopsida; Solanales; Solanaceae.